This 1260-nucleotide ribosomal RNA is filed under the name metagenome. Its description in RNAcentral is "bacterial LSU rRNA". It matches the Rfam family "Bacterial large subunit ribosomal RNA", at positions 1639 to 2910 of the family's 2925-position model. The record is from RNAcentral.
UCCCUGUACCCGAAACCGACACAGGUGGGGUGGUAGAGAAUACCGAGGGGCGCGAGGUAACUCUCUCUAAGGAACUCGGCAAAAUGGCCCCGUAACUUCGGGAGAAGGGGUGCCACCGCAAGGUGGUCGCAGUGAAGAGGCCCAGGCGACUGUUUACCAAAAACACAGGUCUCCGCUAAGUCGCAAGACGAUGUAUGGGGGCUGACGCCUGCCCAGUGCCGGAAGGUUAAGGAAGCUGGUCAGCGCAAGCGAAGCUAGCGACUGAAGCCCCGGUGAACGGCGGCCGUAACUAUAACGGUCCUAAGGUAGCGAAAUUCCUUGUCGGGUAAGUUCCGACCCGCACGAAGGGCGUAACGAUCUGGGCGCUGUCUCGGAGAGAGGCUCGGCGAAAUAGAAUUGUCUGUGAAGAUGCGGACUACGUGCACCCGGACAGAAAGACCCUAUGAAGCUUUACUGUAGCUUGGUAUUGUGCCCGGGCUCUGAAUGCGCAGGAUAGGUGGGAGGCUUUGAUCCAUGGCUUGCGGGUCAUGGUGAGCCAACGGUGAGAUACCACUCUUUCAGAGCUAGGGUUCUAACGGUCACCCGUCAUCCGGGGACCGGACAGUAUCAGGUGGGCAGUUUGACUGGGGCGGUCGCCUCCUAAAAGGUAACGGAGGCGCGCAAAGGUUUGCUCAGGCUGGUUGGAAAUCAGCCGACGAGUGCAAAAGCAGAAGCAAGCUUGACUGUGAGACCUACAAGUCGAACAGGGACGAAAGUCGGCUUUAGUGAUCCGACGGUUCUGAGUGGAAGGGCCGUCGCUCAACGGAUAAAAGUUACUCUAGGAUAACAGGCUGAUCUCCCCCAAGAGUUCACAUCGACGGGGAGGUUUGGCACCUCGAUGUCGGCUCAUCGCAACCUGGGGCUGAAGUCGGUCCCAAGGGUUGGGCUGUUCGCCCAUUAAAGCGGUACGCGAGCUGGGUUCAGAACGUCGUGAGACAGUUCGGUCCAUAUCCGGUGCACGCGCAGGAACAUUGAGAGGAUUUCUCCCUAGUACGAGAGGACCGGGAGGAACGCACCUCUGGUGUGCCAGUUAUCGUGCCAACGGUAAACGCUGGGUAGCCAUGUGCGGAGUGGAUAACCGCUGAAAGCAUCUAAGUGGGAAGCCCACCUCAAGAUGAGUGUUCCCAUGGCAUAAGCCAGUAAGGUCACGGGAAGAACACCCGUUGAUAGGCUCUACGUGGAAGCCGGGUAACCGGUGAAGCGGAGGAGUACUAAUAGACC